GGAUAUGUGGCUCAGUUGAUAGAGAGCUUGCCUCUCAAGCCCAAGGCCCUGGGUUCAAUCCCCAGCACCACCA
This 73-nucleotide transfer RNA is filed under the name Ictidomys tridecemlineatus (thirteen-lined ground squirrel). RNAcentral describes it as "Spermophilus tridecemlineatus (thirteen-lined ground squirrel) tRNA". It matches the Rfam family "tRNA". Rfam says of the family: Transfer RNA (tRNA) molecules are approximately 80 nucleotides in length. Their secondary structure includes four short double-helical elements and three loops (D, anti-codon, and T loops). The record is from Rfam by way of RNAcentral. Lineage: Eukaryota; Metazoa; Chordata; Mammalia; Rodentia; Sciuridae.